UCCAGGCAAAUCCGGAUAAUCAAGGCUGAGGUGUGAUGACGAGGCACUACGGUGCUGAAGUAACAAAUGCCCUGCUUCCAGGAAAAGCCUCUAAGCAUCAGGUAACAUCAAAUCGUACCCCAAACCGACACAGGUGGUCAGGUAGAGAAUACCAAGGCGCUUGAGAGAACUCGGGUGAAGGAACUAGGCAAAAUGGUGCCGUAACUUCGGGAGAAGGCACGCUGGUGUGUAGGUGAAGCCCCUGCGGGUGGAGCUGAGACCAGUCGAAGAUACCAGCUGGCUGCAACUGUUUAUUAAAAACACAGCACUGUGCAAACACGAAAGUGGACGUAUACGGUGUGACGCCUGCCCGGUGCCGGAAGGUUAAUUGAUGGGGUUAUCCGUAAGGAGAAGCUCUUGAUCGAAGCCCCGGUAAACGGCGGCCGUAACUAUAACGGUCCUAAGGUAGCGAAAUUCCUUGUCGGGUAAGUUCCGACCUGCACGAAUGGCGUAAUGAUGGCCAGGCUGUCUCCACCCGAGACUCAGUGAAAUUGAACUCGCUGUGAAGAUGCAGUGUACCCGCGGCAAGACGGAAAGACCCCGUGAACCUUUACUAUAGCUUGACACUGAACAUUGAGCCUUGAUGUGUAGGAUAGGUGGGAGGCUUUGAAGCGUGGACGCCAGUCUGCGUGGAGCCAACCUUGAAAUACCACCCUUUAAUGUUUGAUGUUCUAACGUUGGCCCCUGACCGGGGUUGCGGACAGUGUCUGGUGGGUAGUUUGACUGGGGCGGUCUCCUCCCAAAGCGUAACGGAGGAGCACGAAGGUUAGCUAAUCCUGGUCGGACAUCAGGAGGUUAGUGCAAUGGCAUAAGCUAGCUUGACUGCGAGCGUGACGGCGCGAGCAGGUGCGAAAGCAGGUCAUAGUGAUCCGGUGGUUCUGAAUGGAAGGGCCAUCGCUCAACGGAUAAAAGGUACUCCGGGGAUAACAGGCUGAUACCGCCCAAGAGUUCAUAUCGACGGCGGUGUUUGGCACCUCGAUGUCGGCUCAUCACAUCCUGGGGCUGAAGUAGGUCCCAAGGGUAUGGCUGUUCGCCAUUUAAAGUGGUACGCGAGCUGGGUUUAGAACGUCGUGAGACAGUUCGGUCCCUAUCUGCCGUGGGCGCUGGAGAAUUGAGGGGGGCUGCUCCUAGUACGAGAGGACCGGAGUGGACGCAUCACUGGUGUUCGGGUUGUCAUGCCAAUGGCACUGCCCGGUAGCUAAAUGCGGAAGAGAUAAGUGCUGAAAGCAUCUAAGCACGAAACUUGCCCCGAGAUGAGUUCUCCCUGAGACUUUAAGUCUCCUGAAGGAACGUUAAAGACGAUGACGUUGAUAGGCCGGGUGUGUAAGCGCAGCGAUGCGUUGAGCUAACCGGUACUAAUGAACCGUGAGGCUUAACCUU
RNAcentral lists this ribosomal RNA (1419 nucleotides) under Klebsiella pneumoniae. RNAcentral's name for it is "partial 23S ribosomal RNA". It matches the Rfam family "Bacterial large subunit ribosomal RNA", at positions 1531 to 2925 of the family's 2925-position model. Lineage: Bacteria; Pseudomonadati; Pseudomonadota; Gammaproteobacteria; Enterobacterales; Enterobacteriaceae. RNAcentral also lists the same sequence under 2 other names. The record is from RNAcentral.